This 465-nucleotide ribosomal RNA is filed under the name uncultured Klebsiella sp. RNAcentral describes it as "bacterial SSU rRNA". It matches the Rfam family "Bacterial small subunit ribosomal RNA", at positions 338 to 795 of the family's 1533-position model. Lineage: Bacteria; Pseudomonadati; Pseudomonadota; Gammaproteobacteria; Enterobacterales; Enterobacteriaceae. The record is from RNAcentral.
CCUACGGGUGGCUGCAGUGGGGAAUAUUGCACAAUGGGCGCAAGCCUGAUGCAGCCAUGCCGCGUGUGUGAAGAAGGCCUUCGGGUUGUAAAGCACUUUCAGCGGGGAGGAAGGCGGUGAGGUUAAUAACCUCAUCGAUUGACGUUACCCGCAGAAGAAGCACCGGCUAACUCCGUGCCAGCAGCCGCGGUAAUACGGAGGGUGCAAGCGUUAAUCGGAAUUACUGGGCGUAAAGCGCACGCAGGCGGUCUGUCAAGUCGGAUGUGAAAUCCCCGGGCUCAACCCGGGAACUGCAUUCGAAACUGGCAGGCUAGAGUCUUGUAGAGGGGGGUAGAAUUCCAGGUGUAGCGGUGAAAUGCGUAGAGAUCUGGAGGAAUACCGGUGGCGAAGGCGGCCCCCUGGACAAAGACUGACGCUCAGGUGCGAAAGCGUGGGGAGCAAACAGGAUUAGAUACCCUUGUAGUC